GCGAGUCAGUCAAUGGAAAGCUCUGUUUCUGGUCCUUCAGGAAUGCCUGCAGUUUCUUUGAACCAAGAUGCUGCAUGAUCCUGCUUGGCCUGUAUUCUGACAGCUGCCCAGUUCAGUUGGAGCCCCUGCUCCAGAGGCCGGUGUUACCCAUGGAAAUGGUUAGUGGAAUUGUGAUUUUUUUACUGCCUUUUAAACACUGGCUGCAAAUAUGCUAAACUAUCUGAACCAGUUCAGAAAAAAAGUAAAUGGAAGCUGUUGACUAGCAGUUAAGGUCCAGAAAGCUUUUGGGAAAAGAUGUGCCUUCUUUAAAUGAGCAAAUGUGCUUAGUUAGGUCCAUUUCUUGUAACAUUCUAGUACUGUGACUACUACCAUCUUAUUCUGAACAAGCAUUCUCUUCACGUCAUGGAGCUACACAGAAGAGACAAAACAUUGCAUCACUGUAUGCCAUGGGUGUCAGGCCUUCCACCUGAAGACUUGAGAUGUUCUGUUGAGGUGUUCCUACUCUACAUUAACAGGGUGUUUCAUUUUCAGAAAGCUCACCUUGUUAUCAGUUGCUCUUGGAUUGGUCUCUAAAACAGGAGAUAAGAAAUAAAUGGAUAUGCACAUAACUAAAAUAACACUUUUUCAAGGUUCUCCCUGAUGACAUGGGGUUGGGUGGUUAUAGCUCAAAUAGCAUUUCAUAAAGAGUCCAAUAUUGGACACAUGAACACGCUUGGAUAUUUCCAUCCUCAACCAUGCAGCUCCAGUUCUUCUGUUGUCAGAGUGUUAGUUGGCUACAGACUAGAAAUGGAACAUCAGAAACAUGGCAAUAGCCGUGUGUGUGUGUGUGUGUGUGUGUGUGUGUUGUGAAUAAGUGUUAUGCAUUCCAGAUAAAAUUAACACAAGCAUAACCAAGUGGGAGGGAAGAAUUACUCUUUUAUUUUUUAAUUUUUUAAAGAAAUUUUGUUUUAGUUGUAGAUGGACACAAUGCCUUUAUUUUAUUUAUUUAUUUUUUUAUGCGGUGCUAAAGAUCAAACCCAGUGCCUGACACAUGCUAGGUGAGCACUCUACCACUGAACCACAUCCCAGCCCAAGAAUUACUCUUUUAUUUAAGAUAUACUUAGUUUGAGGGAGCUAGUUCUUCUAGAGCAGAUUCCCAAUUGGGAGUUGGGAAUAUGGGACCUAAACUCAGGGAAGAGAAAAAAGUGGGAGAUAACCUAGAUAACUAGUCAGCUGUCUAGUACCUAGUGAUCAGGGAAGCCAUAAUUAAAGGAGAUGUUCUAGGGGACAAAGAUACAGAAUGAGAAGAACAGGAAGCUCAGAACUACAUCUUGCCAUAUUUGUAAGAGCGAGAGAUUAGAAACAAAUACCUAUCAAUAAGGUAAAUGCCCCCAAAUUAUGGUACAUUAGCCUGGAUUACGGUCAAGGCCCCAUCUCUGCUCUGGGCCAGCCUGUUAAUUAAGGGAAUACUGGAAACACAGGAGCCAUGGGGGAUAAAGAAAAGACAAACCGACAUGCACAGAGGAAGAGCUGGGGCGGAGUGGGAAAACCAAGCCCUGGUGAAGCUUGACUGACUCUGAGCAAGCUCAGCAAGUUUAUUUUUAUUUAUUUAUUUAUCUAUUUUGGGGGGUGGGGGUGGUGGUACCAGGAAUUGAAUUCAGGGGCACUCAACCACUGAGCCACAUCCCAGCCCAAUUUUGUAUUUUAUUUAGAGACAGGGUCUCACUGAGUUGCGUAUUACCUUGGUUUUUGCUGAAGCUGGCUUUGAACUUGUGAUCCUCCUGCCUCAGCCUCCUGAAUAACUGGGAUUACAGGCAUGCCCCAUGCAGCCUGGCACAGUAAGUUUAUUAUAUACGUUUCAUCAAAAGGUUAUUUGUGGGAAAGUUUCAGCAAAGCAGGCAAUCUGAAGGACCACUGGCGAAAUAUUAGGGUGAUCUUGUCUUGCUCAGAAUUCACUAUCUCUGGGAAAAGGUGCUGAACUCAAGGUCCCGACUGAUAAAGCCUGCGCCUUUGCGUGUAGCCACCCCUGGCCAGCGUUACCAUAGCAACUGGGCAUCUCGACUUAUGUCUUUGCCCAGGUAACUGCCAGCGCAAAUGCAGCCACAAGAGAGUCAGAGGCCAUGAUUUGAUUCGGUGGUGCCUGCCUGUAAUCCCAGCAGCUCCGGAGGCUGAGGCAGGAGGGUCGAGAGUUCAAAGCCAGCCUCAGCAAAAAGCAAGGUACUGAGUAACUCAGUGAGAUUUAAAUAAAAUACAAAAUAGGGCAGGGGAUGUGGUUCAGUGGUAGAGUGCCCAAGUUCAAUUCCUGGUACCAAAAUAAAAUAAAAACUAAAAACAAAACAAAACAACAACAAAAAUCACUGCUCUUCACAGAUUACAAUGUAGCAGAAAGAAUAAAGAGGUUCUUUCUGUAUUUAUCCAGAUUUUUUGUUACACUGUUAUUUGAGAAAAGCAGAAUGCUUGAAAGAUGUACUGCAUAGCACUAUGUAAAAAAAAAAGGAAGAAAAGGUUAUGGGUAUUAUCUAUAGUUAUGUGCCACAUAAUGAUGUUUUUGAUCAACAACACAUCACAUGCACAACAUUGAUCCCAAAGAUUAUAAUGGUUAAAAAUUUCCCAUUGAUGAGUAUUUUUAUUACCCUUUCUAUGUUUAUAUAAGCUUGGAUAUGUAAAUCCUAACCAUUAUGUUACAGUUGCAUGCAGUACUCAAAACAGUGACAUGCAAUAUAAGUUUUUAGCCUGGGAACAACAGACUACACUAUAUAGCCUAGGUAUGCUGUAGGCUACACCACCUAGGUUUGUGCAAGUAUACCCUAUAAUAUUUGCACAAAGAUGAAAUCACCUAAUUGUGCAUUUCUCCGAAUUUAUUCUGUCAGUGACAUAUGUGAGUGUUGAGGUGCUCCUACUCUGUAUUAACAGGUAUUUCUGUUACACACACACACACACACACACAUACAAUAUACAGGCACAUGCAAGUAUAAAAUAUGUUGGCAUACACAUGCAUAUGUAUAAGAUGUUUCUGUAAGGAACACGUAGUAUUACAUGGAUGAAGAAGAUUUUUCAUAGAUUUUUUUUUGUACUUUUGAGGAUUUUUUUUUUUUGAGUACUGGAGAUUGAACUCAUAGGUGCUCUACCUCUGAGCUACAUCCCAAGAUCAAAGCACCAACAGAUUCAGUGUCUAGUGAGGGCCUCUUUUCUGAUUCAUAAAUGGCACCUUCUAGCUGUGUCCUCAGAUGGUGGGAAAAGUAAACAGCUCUCUCAUUUUUUUUUAAUGUUGCCAAUUCCAUUCAUGAAGUCUCUGCCACCAUAACUUAAUCACUUCCUACAGCCUCCACCUUCAAUACUGUCACAAUGGUGAUUAAGUUUCAGCAUAUGGAUUUGGGAGAGACACAUUUAGACAUAGCACUUCUGCUCAGAAAUGAGGGGAUCCCAAGAUCCACCAGCACUGAGUAAGGAAUAGGGAGACAUGUGUAAUGAAGUUCCCCAGAAGAAAGUAUUAGGGAGAGGGGACAGGGGUACUUUUGUUGAGCUAUGACUGCUGUAGAAAGGUCAAGCAUGGGGAAGUCAGAGGGAAAGGUCAUGUUGAAGAGGUGGAGGUGAAGAAGAGAGAAGCCAUGCUCCUAAAGACCUUAUCUAAAAGGGAGAAGACCUACUACUUUUUUCAUAGAGGAGAGAAAAGUCUGCAAGCAAAGACUUUUGCCUGGUAGUGUUCAAUGCCUGCUUCCACCCUUACAGUGGAGUUUCUAAAAGGCAGACUAUGCCUACCCACAAUUGUCUCCUCAGCAUAAUACCAUUUCUGGCACUCACCAGCAUCUUCCUACUCCCCUUCCCACAGUAGCCAGAAAAGUGCUGGACCAUUUUACAACCCUGAAACACCUAUUGGUGUUUUCUUGUGAAAGUUACGAUUUUUAUGUAAAAGUGUAUUGCUACCUCCUUCACAUUAGUUUUGCUAUAUAUGUACUAUAACCUGAGAACAUCCUUUUAUUAUAAUUUAAACAUUCUAGUAAACGUCCAAGCUCUUAGUACAAUUGUUAGAGUUUGCAUGUUACUUAAAAUUCAUAUCACAUAGCAUUUUUAUGUGCAUUUUCCACAAAUAUAUUACUAUGGAGAUUUUUAGUACUGUGGCAAUAAAAAUAUUUCCAAAGUUUCAGUUUCUGUAAUCUGUAUUCAUAAAUAAUGAAUUGUCAACUUAGAAAGCUUAAAAAUAACUGAAAUAUAGUGUGUCAUACACUAUUCUAAAUGCAUACAUAUUUGACUCAUAUCUGUUAAGCUGUCUUCAAAUGAUACUAUCCGUAUUUUAUAAACUGAGCAACUGAGGCUCAGAAGGGCUUUGUGUCUUGCUCAAAAUCCUAUACCAGGUAAAAGAGAAAGAGCUGGAAUUUGAAUCCAGGUAAUGUGCCUCCAGAGUCUACUCUCUGAACCAUAAUGAUGCUGACUUUGAACUUAAAGGGCUGUAUGUCUUGCAGACGAUGCAUGAAUACAGGUAACUUCAGGAGGCCUUGAAUGCUAAAAUUAUAAUGGCUUUGUUUCAUCAGUAUAAAACAAGGACAUAUGUUAGAGUCUGUAAACAAGUCAAAAAUAACACCUGGCAUUUUGCCAGGGGAAUGUUAGAGUUCGUAAACAAGUCUGGAUGGUGCCUGGCAAAAUGCCAGAGGGAGUGGUUUGAGAAGUAACAAAAGUGAGCCAUUAAAUGUGGAGAUUCCUUAUUGGUUGACUGAUGUAUCUAGUUUAUGCUAAUUAGAUAAGCUCUGUGGAAUGUAUAAAUACUGCUCCUGUCCUGCAAUAAACGGCUCCCACUCCUGCUGUAUCAACGUACACAAGUUAUUCGUCACCCCCCGGUUAUUUUGCUGCAGCCAGCCGGACUGCGGCAGAUGGUGGCCCGUACGGGGAACCCCGGGACACUCGGGGGUAAGUGAUGAAAAAAAAAGCUGCCCGUCCAUAGAUAGGACAGGAGCAAAUCUGCUCGUCCCUAGGCAGAUAGGGCGAGAGGAAAAAUGGCCAUUUCGAGAAAAUGGAGAAGAUUGAUACAGUAUGUUUGUGUCUUGUUUUGUCUUAAAAUGUUGUAUUGUCUUUGUGAUGAAAAUAUGGAAGGGGUGUUAAGUAAAUUACUAAGGGAAGAAGGCACCCCAAUGGAACCAAGAAUAGUUAGGGCAUGUGUUGAUAGAAGCCCAGGAACUCUAGUCAGAAAGAAACAGAAAGUUCAGAAGAAGAAAGAUUAUCAGAGGAGGAAGGAUUAUCAGGAAAAAAGUUGCAGCAAAAGGCUAUUACUGAAUACUUUUCGUUACCGGAGGGUGCGUGAAUCGGAGCCGCGGCUGCCACAUGUGCGAGCUGGUCAUGGCACAGCAAGGGCUUUCCAAACGGCGGCAGCCGGCUCUUCCACUGCUGAGAGCCCAAAUCUAGACCUGACUUGGAGGCACAGUCUCGCAGGCUCUUGCUCCCUGUGCCCAGUAGCAGUUUGAAUCCGGGACACUCCCCAGGGCCAUCUGGGGCUGCCCAGGACACUACAGCCGGCAAAAGAGGCUACUGGUGUCCCUGAUGUUUGGUCAUUUUCAAUGCCAAUAACUAAACUACAAUGGUUCUCCCACACCUGGAAGCUAAUGAGUAAUGAGCACUAUUAAUGCUUAUUUCAAAUGCAAAAAAUCCUUGAGAUAAUGUACUAAAUUGUUCAGAAGGUUGUUUUCUUAGUGGAAUGCUACAGGAUUUUCUUUAGCAUCUUUGCAAGAGUUCCUGCCUUCGUCCCAGUGCCGGUGAGGACUGAGGACGAGGAUGGAAAAUUUCCAGUGUUGCUGAAAACCGGAUGAAACUUCGGCUGAAAAACGGACGAGACUUCGGAUCUGUUGCUGUUUCUGCUGCUACAACUUAAGCUAGCUGCCUGCAGAACUUACCUGGACUGUGAUUUAAGCUAGAUGCCUGCAGAACUUACCUGGACUGUGAUUUAAGCUAGCUGCCUGCAGAACUUACCUGGACUGUGAGUUAAUCUAUUGAGACACUGCUUUACCUGGACUGAGACAACAAACUAUAAUCUACAACAAAUUGUAACUCGGUAUCUUUGCUAACAGUGUCAUUGCUGGUAUAAUUUUUCCAAGGGCUUCUUGCAUGGAGCCAUCAAUUGGCUUGGUAUUGUGGCAUUUUGUAUCCUCCCUUUCUGUUUGUAGCAGGUUAUUUAUGGUGUUUCUGUAAAAACCACUAUGGUCGUUAUUUAAAUUAAACAAAAGGGGGAAAUGUUAGAGUCUGUAAACAAGUCAAAAAUAACACCUGGCAUUUUGCCAGGGGAAUGUUAGAGUUCGUAAACAAGUCUGGAUGGUGCCUGGCAAAAUGCCAGAGGGAGUGGUUUGAGAAGUAACAAAAGCGAGCCAUUAAGUGUGGAGAUUCCUUAUUGGUUGACUGAUGUAUCUAGUUUAUGCUAAUUAGAUAAGCUCUGUGGAAUGUAUAAAUACUGCUCCUGUCCUGCAAUAAACGGCUCCCACUCCUGCUGUA
Long non-coding RNA from Marmota monax (woodchuck), 6450 nucleotides. RefSeq lists it as uncharacterized. NCBI's taxonomy places the organism in Eukaryota, Metazoa, Chordata, Mammalia, Rodentia, Sciuridae. The record is from RefSeq and is a predicted model, not a curated record. The transcript has 2 exons.